Molecule: ribosomal RNA, 254 nt
Filed under: uncultured bacterium
Lineage: Bacteria
Description: partial 16S ribosomal RNA
Rfam family: Bacterial small subunit ribosomal RNA
Source: RNAcentral
CUUUCUUUGCUGGCGACCGGCGCACGGGUGAGUAACACGUAUCCAACCUGCCCUUUACUCGGGGAUAGCCUUUCGAAAGAAAGAUUAAUACCCGAUAGCAUAAUGAUUCCGCAUGGCUUCAUUAUUAAAGGAUUCCGGUAAAGGAUGGGGAUGCGUUCCAUUAGGUUGUUGGUGGGGUAACGGCCCACCAAGCCUUCGAUGGAUAGGGGUUCUGAGAGGAAGGUCCCCCACAUUGGAACUGAGACACGGUCCAA